This 492-nucleotide ribosomal RNA is filed under the name uncultured Acidobacteriota bacterium. Its description in RNAcentral is "bacterial SSU rRNA". It matches the Rfam family "Bacterial small subunit ribosomal RNA", at positions 16 to 507 of the family's 1533-position model. Lineage: Bacteria; Pseudomonadati; Acidobacteriota. The record is from RNAcentral.
AUCUUUGGCUCAGAGCGAACGCUGGCGGCGUGCUUAACACAUGCAAGUCGAGUGCGCGUACCGUAGCAAUACGGUAUGGCGCACGGCGCACGGGUGCGUAACACGUGGGUAAUCUGCCCUUCGAUGGGGAAUAACUCCGGGAAACCGAAGCUAAUUCCGCAUAACAUUCCUUGAACUUCGGUUUGGGGACUCAAAGCCGUAAGGCGUCGGAGGAGGAACCCGCGCACGAUUAGCUAGUUGGUAGGGUAACGGCCUACCAAGGCUUUGAUCGUUAGCUGGUCUGAGAGGAUGGCCAGCCACACUGGAACUGAGACACGGUCCAGACUCCUACGGGAGGCAGCAGUGGGGAAUCUUGCACAAUGGGCGAAAGCCUGAUGCAGCGACGCCGCGUGGGGGAUGAAGCUUUUCGGAGUGUAAACCCCUUUCGACCCGGACGAAUACCUCGCAAGAGGGGUGACGGUACGGGUAUAAGAAGCCCCGGCUAACUACGUG